This 546-nucleotide ribosomal RNA is filed under the name uncultured bacterium. RNAcentral's name for it is "bacterial SSU rRNA". It matches the Rfam family "Bacterial small subunit ribosomal RNA", at positions 355 to 896 of the family's 1533-position model. The record is from RNAcentral.
UAGGGAAUUUUUCACAAUGAGCGAAAGCUUGAUGGAGCAAUGCCGCGUGAACGAUGAAGGUCUUUAAGAUUGUAAAGUUCUUUUAUUUGGGAAGAAUGACUUUAGCAGGUAAUGGCUAGAGUUUGACUGUACCAUUUUGAAUAAGUGACGACUAACUAUGUGCCAGCAGUCGCGGUAGUACAUAGGUCGCAAGCGUUAUCCGGAUUUAUUGGGCGUAAAGCAAGCGCAGGCGGAUUGAAAAGUCUGGUGUUAAAGGCAGCUGCUUAACAGUUGUAUGCAUUGGAAACUAUUAAUCUAGAGUGUGGUAGGGAGUUUUGGAAUUUCAUGUGGAGCGGUGAAAUGCGUAGAUAUAUGAAGGAACACCAGUGGCGAAGGCGAAAACUUAGGCCAUUACUGACGCUUAGGCUUGAAAGUGUGGGGAGCAAAUAGGAUUAGAUACCCUAGUAGUCCACACCGUAACGAUAGAUACUAGCUGUCGGGGCGAUCCCCUCGGUAGUGAAGUUAACACAUUAAGUAUCUCGCCUGGGUAGUACAUUCGCAAGAAUG